UACAGAGGUGGCGAGCGUUGUUCGGAUUUACUGGGCGUAAAGGGCGCGUAGGCGGCUCCGUGUGUCGCGUGUGAAAUCCCCGGGCUCAACCCGGGAAGUGCGCGCGAAACUGCGGGGCUCGAGCGGAGGAGGGGAGAGCGGAAUUCAUGGUGUAGCGGUGAAAUGCGCAGAUAUCAGGAGGAACACCAAUGGCGAAGGCAGGUCUCUGGGCAGUUACUGACGCUGAGGAGCGAAAGCAUGGGUAGCGAACAGGAUUAGA
RNAcentral lists this ribosomal RNA (259 nucleotides) under uncultured prokaryote. RNAcentral's name for it is "partial 16S ribosomal RNA". It matches the Rfam family "Bacterial small subunit ribosomal RNA", at positions 524 to 782 of the family's 1533-position model. The record is from RNAcentral.